RNAcentral lists this long non-coding RNA (1522 nucleotides) under Numida meleagris (helmeted guineafowl). RNAcentral's name for it is "lncRNA (ENSNMEG00000021984.1)". Lineage: Eukaryota; Metazoa; Chordata; Aves; Galliformes; Numididae. The record is from RNAcentral.
GAGUAGACAACAGUUUAACCACUUUCUCUCCCUCUCCCUGCAGGGCAGAAAUUCCUACAUUUGUCCCCUCUGCUGUGUUUUGUGACCUGGUGCUUCCCUAAACCUAGUGUAAGUCAUCCCUUCUGCCCUUUGUUUAUAGGGAAGCAUGUUUGAGAAGCUAAACAAUCAAUGCCCUGCUCAUCAAAUGUAGGAGUGUUUGGCAUUCGUAACAGGAAUGGACUAUAAAAUAAAUGCCUCUGGCUGCUGUUUGCAUUCUGGCUUGCCAUGCUCUGGCCCUAUCAGGCCUGCAAUAUGGGAAAAUGGGGCCUCUCCUGAAGUUCUCAGUGUUAUGGUCAGAGCGUUCAGACAUGUGCAGACAUGCUGGUCCUGGGCUGUGCUCAUACUUCACAUGGAGUUUUCUUCUUGAAGGAAUGCUGCAGCAGGAAGAUAGAAAGCAAACUUGCAAAAAAUGUAGAGGUAACUAUAGAAACAUUUAUGAAACUACAUAGCCUGUCGGCAUUACCAAAACAUCUGUAAACCUCAUUUCAAGUCAAGCAUAACAGGCAAUUAGGGACUGACCAAGGAAAUAUUUAAGAUAUGCCGUUAUACAGCAAAGCACUUAAGAAUCUGAUUAUCUAGCCUUACCUUUUACCUAAGCAUUUAUUUAAAAACUGUGCUAAGCCUGGUACUGAGCAGAAAAGUUCAUCUGAAUUUAAGGCACUUUAGUGAGAAGAUCGAGAUGAUCUUUCAACUGAUUAACCAGAGUUAAGGGCUUCUUCUCAGCAGUACUGAGGACAUGCUGCUAAACCUGAAUUCAGCAAGAACCAUGCUUGCUGCCUCUGGAAAAUCAUGCCUUUUUCCUUGGGAUCUCAAGUGGUGUUUCUGUGCCUGAUAUUAAGCAUCUGCAUAGGGAAGUACUGCAAUUUGCUUUGUUAAACCCUAAUCAGUUAUUAUUAUUGCAGGGGUUAAGCAAGCAAGUUUGGAAUUUGAACUUGCACAAACAAACUCCUGAGCACACAGCAAUGGGCCAUCUACAGUACCAAAGAAGACAUGCAGUCCGGCUGUUCCAUGGCAUCUCCUUUCUCCUCACAGAAUGCGUACUGCUGUGCUUAAUGAUAACACCUUUAUCUGACUGAACAGAAAUAGAUGUUAAUUUUAAAAUGUAUUGAGAGUAAAAGGGAAAGGAAAGGAGAAAAGCACAGCUGCAACCUUCUGUUUGUGGACUUUCCAAAUUUUUAUUCUGAACACACGUCUAACAUCAUUCAUGGAAAUACCAGCUCAGCACUGUUGAACAGCAGUGUGUUUCUUUAUAUUUAUUUUGCCCCCUCAUAUUUUCUUCCAUUAAAGUUUAGCAAUGUACACAAACAAACUGCAGUGAGAAAAAAAAGACAAAAAUGAAACUCAUAAAAAGGCAGGCAAUAGAAGUGACCUUUGCCACUCCUUUGAUAGUAUUUUGAACAUUUCUCUGCUAGUAGCUAAGAUUUUCUUUUACACUUUCAGGCAACCAUAGAUGAUAACAUGAAUAAAAUUGUAUGGUGUCUCA